GACAGUCUCCCAGACACACUCACUCUGACUUGUUACCAUAGGAACGUAGUGGAGGAGGUUGCCGAGCUGCGGCGUUGUUAGGGGGGAUACAACUAAAGCAUCCAGGAGGACGGAGGAAUUAGAUUUCCAGCAUGAGGACCCUUCAGAGGCGAGGAGAGGGCAGACCUCAGCGUUACCUGGGAGGAGCUGCAGCCUACAGCAGGAAUGAACCCUCCUGAAGCAGGUUCUGGGCCUCCAUCACCCCCCCUUCCAUCCUCCUCCUCAUUAUGCACGACGUGUAAUUAGGUAACGGCGUUUUUGAAUGCAUUAAACAUGCAUGACUUUCGUGAUGGAGGUCAGAAGCAGCGGCGGGCAAGAAAAAGCAGCAAUAGAGUCUUUCUCAAGGACGCUUUCAUGGUGGACCAAGUCUACUGGGGAUCAAAGCUGUUAUUGGACUCAGGAUGGAUGACUGAGGCCUCCAGCCCCCGAGGCCUGUUCCUCUGUCUGAUCUCACUGUUAACAGCUCUGAUCAUCACCCAGAGGAGGGAAGCAGGGAGGGAUACGACUGCUGCCCCCUGACGCUGCUCGGCCUAAAUGUUGUUGGGUAUGAUGGAGGAGAAAUUAGGGGCAACAGAGCAAGAAGAUGGUUUGUGUGUGUUGGCUGAGGAAGAAAGAUGGAUGGGGUUUAAUUGGUCGGACAGCAUACGAGCCGUAAUGUAAGCACACGACUGGAUCCUCUAGAAUCUGCAAAUGGAACCAAAGUGUGACUGAUGGUCAACGUUUAAUGUUCAGGUCCUCAGUUUAGCAUCAGCUCAUUGAUCGCAUUAGUUGUGGGCUCAUUAAAGCAUUUUACCCCAGAUAUUAGUCAUGUCCUCUGCUCUCAGUCUUUAGUUAAAGCUUAUUACCAUAGCUCAACAUUUUGGGAUAAAAAUAUUGAUACCACUCUUUGAAACCAAGGAGUUGCUUAGCUUAGCUUAGCAUAAAAACUGAAAGCAUCUCCGCUGUUUGAAUUCCACUUCAAAAUCAACAGUUUUUAAUGAGAAAGAUGCAGUGUGACUUCUCGGAAAUCACACAAGGAACAAUUGAUUAAAUUGUGGGGGUGGUUCCAAGUCCCAUCAAUUCCCACCGCUACAUCAAUUACCACUGCUACAUAUUUAGGUCACGUGAUUCGGUGACCGUACAUAACAUACACAUGCAUAACACACGCCUGUGUUCAGUGCAACGUCAUUUUUUAUUAAAGAUUUCAUCUGUUGGAAAUGAUGUAAUUGAGCAGCCUUGGAGGAGUACUACGCUCUCUAACUGCUUUUCUUGUUGGAUUCUGUCAUUCUCUCUUUGUACGUUUCCUUCGUACUUUUUUAUGCACGUUCAAAACAUUCAUACGUUUCACUAAUCAACAAAUUAACUGUUGGGAUCUGGAGGCAUCCGAACAGAAACAUUUAGAUCAUUGUGCGUUUUCCAACAAACCCCAGAUUAGCUCAAUUCAUGUGAAAGACAAAACAAAAGCCGAAGAUGUAAUUCUUAAUCAAAGUGUGUUUUCGACAUUCGUCACAGUUUUCAGAUUUGUUGCAGUAGUGAGAUCAUCGGGGCGGAUUCAGGUCAAAAGGUGCCUUUGGCCAGACAUCCACUGGCGUCCCUGAGGGGGCUGUUAUUUUCAUAUCAACAUAAUUUAAUAAUAUUUUCAGUUAAUUGGGUUUGUGUCUGCGUCAUGUCAUCAGUUUAGUACCCUCUAGGGUCCCAAGACAACCUGGGCUUUCAUGGUGAACUGUAGACCACCACGCCAGUAGAAAAUUUUCCGAUGCAAUGGACAUUUGAGGCAGUUUCAGUUUAGUUUUACUUCCAAACACUGCUGGUUUGUUUACAGCCCGUCCAGCCACAUUUGUGAGCAGCGUUGCUUCGAUUUUGGCACGCUCAGUGUUAUCAUCGCCAACAGAAACCACGGCCAAGCCUAUCAAAAUAAUUAUCCUUUCACAAUUGCACAUCAUCUGCUCCGUCUUCCUCCGUCCUCACAUCUCGGCUCCCCCAGCUGCUCAAACUGCCUCACGAGCCCAUCCAGGAAGCGUCAGUAUGAUUAUCAGUCUCUCCUCAGACCAUUUCAAAAAGCUCACAGUUAGUGGGGUGUGAAGAAGAAACGUGAUUGCCUGUUAAACCUCGACACCGCAGGCCGCAGCGCGCAACACCCGGACGCCACAUGUGGGCCCCUCUCAAUUCAGAACUGUAAUUUCGCUCUUAUUUAAAGACAGUACGGUCGUCUGAAGCUGUCGGAUCUUUGGCAGGUUCGUCUGAAGAAGCAAAGUGUGUGAAAACAACAGUUUACUGCGGAUGCAAACAACAGCCCCUCAGGGACUCCAGUUCUCAUUCAAACUCUUUUUGGAAGGUGAUCAGACAGAAUCAACUUUAGAGUGAAUCCUAUUGUAGCUGUUUACAUGUGGCUUGUUUUCAGAUUUAAUUAUGUUUUUGUACCUAAAUGAAGCCUUGUUGUUGCCUUUCCAGUUGGUUGCGCUCACAAUUUCCAUUAACUCUAAAAGUCCAGAGGGUAAACACAACAGUUUGCAGCAAGAUCAAUCCAUUUUAAAAGAAAUGUCACCAGUAAAUUUCACGUUUAACCUCAGAACCGACAGCAGGUUUCGCCAAAAAUACAUCCCUUACCACAGCCAGAAACAGUAAAAACAAAGAAUUAUUGGAUUUUCAGGUUUUGAAUAGCCAGGACACAUGUUUGAGAUGCAGAAAUUACCCAAAAACAAGCAUUAAAUUUUGAUAUUCUGCAUUUCCAUUCAAACAUUAGGUCAAAGUAAACCAUAUGCACCAGAUCUUGGAAAAAAAACAGCAACAAAAAAAACCCUGAUUUUGUGUUUCUAAGUGCAACAGUGAAGCCAUGACUGACACAAUUUCAGUAAAUAUUCAGGUGAACUGCAGGCAGUAUUUCCACAGAGUGACUGAGAGUAAAAUAAACUGGAUCAGUACAAUAAAUGCUGCAUGGCUUGAAAAUGUAACCAAUUGUCAUUCAGCAUGGUUAAACAUCUCUGCAGAGUUGUGUGAAAAGCAUCAAAUCUGUAGAGGUUGAUAAAAUGGAAAUACUUAAAUGAUCAUAGUGUGUAGAACCACAUUUUUCCAGCUUUUGUAGCAUCUGUGAGCACGUAGAAAAUGUUGUAUUGAGGAACCUGAUUUAAUCCAGUGAAAGACUUUAAAUUGCAGUGAAGAUGAGCCCACAGUGAGUCAAAAUGUGUCAGGAGCAAGAAAACAUCCACAAACUGGUGAGAGUCAGAGAGUUAGCCAGUAGCAAGUAUCUAGCUAGCUGUGUGUAACAUCCACUUAUGUUUAAGCUCAUCUGCUGCAGUAUUUCUGAAAAAAAAAAAAAAAGAGGAAUAUUUGCAAAUGAUUGCAAAACAGGAACUGAUGUGUCAUCUUAGCAACACUGCUAACCAGAUUGCUAACUGAUAUGUCACUACAAUAACUCAUUGAUUUUAGCUAAUGCUUCUGGAGCUAACUCCCACUACCAGAUACAUAUCUGGCUAGCAUGUUAGCAUUAGCUCUUCAGCUACUCCUCUCGCAAUAUCUUGAUAUCACUGGCCAAAAUAAUUCAAAAAACAGCAUACUUGUGAUAUCUGUAGAAUAUAUAAAAAAUAUAUAUUAAUGAUCAGUGUAAAAUUAAUCUUUAGUUUGUUGUGUGUUUUGUCUUUUUGGCACUUGAAAUUUACUUGAAAUAUGAGUGUAGGGAGUCUGUAAGCAUAAUACUGUACUAUCUUUUGCUCCUAUGUUGGUGUGUUAAUCAGAUAGUUACUGGCUCUGCAUUAUUUUUUAGAAUUAUGUGUUUUUCAUGUGUAUUAUUAACGAGAUGACAAUGUUUAUCACUGAAAUUCAGCCAUGUGAAUAGUCACUAUGUCCCCUUCAACAUUCAGAGAAAAGUUUGGUGCUUUGUCACGUAAUGUUUCUAGGUAGACUGAAAUCAUAAUGCGACAAAAAAUAAGAUCUUUGUGGAGAACACAGGGGUAGAUUUGUUCUCAGAUUCAGCUUUGAUGGGUGAACUGGUUCAUUAUCUCCUGCGAUCGUCUGCAGCUGGUCCAAAAUAUCGUAUGAUUCGUUGUGCUGCCUUGUGGGAGAGCUUCUCAAUUUCAUCUCUCAUCUCUCAGCUCCAUUAACUGACAAAAGACACCAGACGCCAGAGAGGCACAUUUCUCAGGUGGCACCACAUGGCACCGUAUGAUUUGUGGGUCCUCGGAUUAUUUGGGGCACUCUGUCUUAUUUUAAACUGUAUAUGGAUGUGUCCAGGAGGUGGAAACAUGCCAGAAAUAGGUCUGAUAAUUCAGAUUUGUGUGAAAGUACCUGUACGAUUUAAUGGCCUGGACAUUUUUUAAAUUGAAGCCGUCGCAGAAAUGCCA
This is a long non-coding RNA of Acanthochromis polyacanthus (spiny chromis), 4355 nucleotides long. RefSeq lists it as uncharacterized. NCBI's taxonomy places the organism in Eukaryota, Metazoa, Chordata, Actinopteri, Pomacentridae. The record is from RefSeq and is a predicted model, not a curated record. The transcript has 2 exons.